AGAGUUUGAUCCUGGCUCAGAUUGAACGCUGGCGGCAUGCCUUACACAUGCAAGUCGAACGGCAGCAUAGGAGCUUGCUCCUGAUGGCGAGUGGCGAACGGGUGAGUAAUAUAUCGGAACGUGCCCUAGAGUGGGGGAUAACUAGUCGAAAGAUUAGCUAAUACCGCAUACGAUCUACGGAUGAAAGUGGGGGAUCGCAAGACCUCAUGCUCAUGGAGCGGCCGAUAUCUGAUUAGCUAGUUGGUGGGGUAAAAGCUCACCAAGGCGACGAUCAGUAGCUGGUCUGAGAGGACGACCAGCCACACUGGGACUGAGACACGGCCCAGACUCCUACGGGAGGCAGCAGUGGGGAAUUUUGGACAAUGGGCGCAAGCCUGAUCCAGCCAUACCGCGUGGGUGAAGAAGGCCUUCGGGUUGUAAAGCUCUUUUGUCAGGGAAGAAACGGUUGCAGCUAAUAUCUGCGACUAAUGACGGUACCUGAAGAAUAAGCACCGGCUAACUACGUGCCAGCAGCCGCGGUAAUACGUAGGGUGCAAGCGUUAAUCGGAAUUACUGGGCGUAAAGCGUGCGCAGGCGGUUGUGUAAGUCAGAUGUGAAAUCCCCGGGCUCAACCUGGGAAUUGCAUUUGAGACUGCACGGCUAGAGUGUGUCAGAGGGGGGUAGAAUUCCACGUGUAGCAGUGAAAUGCGUAGAUAUGUGGAGGAAUACCGAUGGCGAAGGCAGCCCCCUGGGAUAACACUGACGCUCAUGCACGAAAGCGUGGGGAGCAAACAGGAUUAGAUACCCUGGUAGUCCACGCCCUAAACGAUGUCUACUAGUUGUCGGGUCUUAAUUGACUUGGUAACGCAGCUAACGCGUGAAGUAGACCGCCUGGGGAGUACGGUCGCAAGAUUAAAACUCAAAGGAAUUGACGGGGACCCGCACAAGCGGUGGAUGAUGUGGAUUAAUUCGAUGCAACGCGAAAAACCUUACCUACCCUUGACAUGGAUGGAAUCCUGAAGAGAUUUAGGAGUGCUCGAAAGAGAACCAUCACACAGGUGCUGCAUGGCUGUCGUCAGCUCGUGUCGUGAGAUGUUGGGUUAAGUCCCGCAACGAGCGCAACCCUUGUCAUUAGUUGCUACGAAAGGGCACUCUAAUGAGACUGCCGGUGACAAACCGGAGGAAGGUGGGAAUGACGUCAAGUCCUCAUGGCCCUUAUGGGUAGGGCUUCACACGUCAUACAAUGGUACAUACAGAGGGCCGCCAACCCGCGAGGGGGAGCUAAUCCCAGAAAGUGUAUCGUAGUCCGGAUUGGAGUCUGCAACUCGACUCCAUGAAGUUGGAAUCGCUAGUAAUCGCGGAUCAGCAUGUCGCGGUGAAUACGUUCCCGGGUCUUGUACACACCGCCCGUCACACCAUGGGAGUGGGUUGCACCAGAAGUAGCUAGUCUAACCUUCGGGAGGACGGUUACCACGGUGUGAUUCAUGACUGGGGUGAAGUCGUAACAAGGUAACC
RNAcentral lists this ribosomal RNA (1494 nucleotides) under uncultured Herbaspirillum sp. Its description in RNAcentral is "16S ribosomal RNA". It matches the Rfam family "Bacterial small subunit ribosomal RNA". Lineage: Bacteria; Pseudomonadati; Pseudomonadota; Betaproteobacteria; Burkholderiales; Oxalobacteraceae. The record is from RNAcentral.